AAACUGUCCAAAGUAUCUGGAAGAUAAGAAGAAUGGAAAUGUUCCUACUACUUCUGCAGGGUCUGAGAAAGAGUAGAGCAUUGGCAAAAGGCGAGGUCGAUCUUAGAGUUGGCAAUGGAGCAAAGGUUGCUGCUUUAGCUGUUGGAACUUAUGUAUUGACCUUACCUAGUGGUCUUUUACUUAAUUUAGAAAACUGCUAUUAUGUACCUGCCAUUAGCAGGAAUAUUAUUUCAAUUUCUUGUUUGGA
Long non-coding RNA from Medicago truncatula (barrel medic), 247 nucleotides. RefSeq lists it as uncharacterized. Lineage: Eukaryota; Viridiplantae; Streptophyta; Magnoliopsida; Fabales; Fabaceae. The transcript has 2 exons. The record is from RefSeq and is a predicted model, not a curated record.